Molecule: transfer-messenger RNA, 351 nt
Filed under: Fimbriimonadaceae
Lineage: Bacteria; Bacillati; Armatimonadota; Fimbriimonadia; Fimbriimonadales
Also listed under: 1 other name
Description: JAEURO01 sp016788345 Standard tmRNA
Rfam family: transfer-messenger RNA
About the family: Bacterial tmRNA, also known as 10Sa RNA or SsrA, is named for its dual tRNA and mRNA-like properties. Its role is to liberate the mRNA from a stalled ribosome.
Source: RNAcentral
GGGGGCGAAAGGGUUCGACAGGGUCGAUCCGAGCACCGGUUGCGAGCCGAGGCGCCGCUGGCCUCGUAAAAAGCGGCAAAAAAGUAAACGCGAAUAACAAUCUCGCCUACGCUGCCUAACGUGCAGCGCGUUGCCCGGAACCCUGCCAGCGGGGUCCGCCAGUAGCGACGCAAAGGCUGGCUCGAAGGAAGGGCUUCAGUCCGUAGCCUGACCUUCUAAACUCAACCGGACUCGGCGGAAGCUUCGCUUGCCUCUCGGCAGGGCCCCGCCUAAACCAAUGAGAGGAGACGCUCGUGGUGACCUAUGCGGCGGCGAUUUUGGAACAGGGUUCAAUUCCCUGCGCCUCCACCA